This 253-nucleotide ribosomal RNA is filed under the name uncultured bacterium. RNAcentral describes it as "partial 16S ribosomal RNA". It matches the Rfam family "Bacterial small subunit ribosomal RNA", at positions 524 to 776 of the family's 1533-position model. The record is from RNAcentral.
UACGUAGGGUGCGAGCGUUGUCCGGAAUUACUGGGCGUAAAGGGCUCGUAGGCGGUCUGUUGCGUCGGGAGUGAAAACUCAGGGCUUAACCCUGAGCCUGCUUCCGAUACGGGCAGACUAGAGGUACGCAGGGGAGAACGGAAUUCCUGGUGUAGCGGUGAAAUGCGCAGAUAUCAGGAGGAACACCGGUGGCGAAGGCGGUUCUCUGGGAAUAUCCUGACGCUGAGGAGCGAAAGUGUGGGGAGCGAACAGG